Pelobates cultripes (western spadefoot toad) is the source of this 179-nucleotide non-coding RNA. NCBI's taxonomy places the organism in Eukaryota, Metazoa, Chordata, Amphibia, Anura, Pelobatidae. The record is from the annotation of a GenBank genome assembly.
CCAUUAUCCAUUCCCUCUGCAAAUGUGUGUGUGUGUGUGUGUGUGUGUAUAUAUAUAUAUAUAUAUGUAUAGUUACCAUUAUCCAUUCCCUCUGCAAAUGUGUGUGUGUGUAUAUAUAUAUGUAUAUAUAUAUACAUAUAUAUAUACACACACACAUUUGCAGAGGGAAUGGAUAAAGG